CCUACGGGUGGCAGCAGUGGGGGAUAUUGCACAAUGGGCGAGACCCUGAUGCAGCGACGCCGCGUGUGGGAAGACGGUCCUCUGGAUUGUAAACCACUGUCCCCAGGGACGAAGAUGACGGUACCUGGGGAGGAAGCUCCGGCCAACUACGUGCCAGCGGCCGGGGUACUACGUAGGGAGCGCGCGUUGUCCGGAAUUACUGGGUUUAAGGGGAGCGUAGGCGGGACUGCAAGUUGGGGGUAAAAUCUACGGGCUCAACCGGUAGCCGCACUCAAAACUGCAGUUCUUGAGUGAAGUAGAGGCAGGCGGAAUGCGUAGUGUAGCGGUGAAAUGCGUAGAUAUUAGGAGGAACACCAGUGGCGAAGGCGGCCUGCUGGGCUUCUACUGACGCUGAGGCUCGAAAGUGUGGGGAGCAAACAGGAUUAGAUACCCUUGUAGUC
This 440-nucleotide ribosomal RNA is filed under the name uncultured bacterium. Its description in RNAcentral is "partial 16S ribosomal RNA". It matches the Rfam family "Bacterial small subunit ribosomal RNA", at positions 338 to 795 of the family's 1533-position model. The record is from RNAcentral.